GCUGAGGUAGCCAAGCUAGGUCUAAGGCACUAGAAACAGGCUUUGCCUGUUUCGGUCGACUAACGGCGCUGGUCUGGAAAGCCAGUGUGCGCAAGCACGCGGGGGUUCAAAUCCCUCCCUCAGCG
This 125-nucleotide transfer RNA is filed under the name Candidatus Aenigmatarchaeota archaeon. RNAcentral describes it as "tRNA-Ser". It matches the Rfam family "tRNA". Rfam says of the family: Transfer RNA (tRNA) molecules are approximately 80 nucleotides in length. Their secondary structure includes four short double-helical elements and three loops (D, anti-codon, and T loops). The record is from RNAcentral. Lineage: Archaea; Nanobdellati; Candidatus Aenigmatarchaeota.